CUAACCAGGAUUCCCUCAGUNACGGCGAGUGAAGCGGGAAAGCCCAGCACCGAAUCCCCCGGCGUGUCCGUCGGCGGGAACUGUGGUGUGUGGGACGCCAACUGUCGCGCCCGGACGGCACCCAAGUCCUCCUGAUCGAGGCCUCUCCCCGAGUGGGUGUAAGGCCUUUGGUCGGUGCCCGUCCGGCGCGGCCGCGAGCGUCUCAGGAGUCGGGUUGUUUGGGNAUGCAGCCCUACAGCGGGUGGUACACUCCAUCUAAGGCUAAAUACCUGUGCGAGUCCGAUAGCAGACAAGUACCGUNGAGGGAA
Molecule: ribosomal RNA, 308 nt
Filed under: Pleurobranchus reticulatus
Lineage: Eukaryota; Metazoa; Mollusca; Gastropoda; Pleurobranchida; Pleurobranchidae
Description: eukaryotic LSU rRNA
Rfam family: Eukaryotic large subunit ribosomal RNA
Source: RNAcentral